This 291-nucleotide long non-coding RNA is filed under the name Oryza brachyantha (malo sina). RNAcentral's name for it is "long non-coding RNA (OBRA_LNC003299)". The record is from RNAcentral. Lineage: Eukaryota; Viridiplantae; Streptophyta; Magnoliopsida; Poales; Poaceae.
GAGAACCAAAACUAAAAGUGUAUAAUGUGCACUCUAAAUGGCAAGGAGCAAAUGCAAUUGGAACACUAGUUAUAGUACGCAUGAUGUGCUAUUUAUGUUGAUGAUAGAGCGUUGGCUUCAUUUGCCAAUCAAAGUACAAUCUUAUUCUUUAAGUGAAUCUCUUUGUAUAUAAAUUAUGUCCAAUUGAAAAUAUACGCAUAACUUUUUUUUCUCUUCUUAUUGUUUUUGGAAAUUUCCUAUUAUUAUCUAUUCUCAUUGUUCGUUGUCUUGCUAAACUAGUAGGUAGUGAUC